CCUACGGGAGGCAGCAGUGAGGAAUAUUGGUCAAUGGGAGGAAUCCUGAACCAGCCACGCCGCGUGCAGGACGACGGCUCUACGAGUUGUAAACUGCUUUUGUACCGGGGUAAAAUGCUCUACGAGUAGGGUUUUGAAAGUACGGUACGAAUAAGGAUCGGCCAACUCCGUGCCAGCAGCCGCGGUAAUACGGAGGGUCCGAGCGUUAUCCGGAUUCAUUGGGUGUAAAGGGUGCGUAGGUUGUUCUAUAAGUUAGCGGUGAAAUACCGAUGCUCAACUUCGGGGCUGCCGCUGAUACUGUAAGACUAGAGAUCGGAUGCGGCAGGCGGAAUGUGUGGUGUAGCGGUGAAAUGCAUAGAUAUUACGCAGAACACCGAUUGCGAAGGCAGGUUGCUAGGCCGGAACUGACGCUGAGGCACGAAAGCGAGGGGAUCGAACGGGAUUAGAUACCCUUGUAGUC
Molecule: ribosomal RNA, 460 nt
Filed under: uncultured bacterium
Lineage: Bacteria
Description: partial 16S ribosomal RNA
Rfam family: Bacterial small subunit ribosomal RNA
Source: RNAcentral